RNAcentral lists this unclassified non-coding RNA (452 nucleotides) under Fusarium metavorans. RNAcentral describes it as "sequence contains 18S rRNA gene, ITS1, 5.8S rRNA gene, ITS2, 28S rRNA gene". The stretch from base 125 to 278 matches the Rfam family "5.8S ribosomal RNA". Lineage: Eukaryota; Fungi; Ascomycota; Sordariomycetes; Hypocreales; Nectriaceae. The record is from RNAcentral.
AACAUACCUAAACGUUGCCUCGGCGGGAACAGACGGCCCCGUGAAAACGGGCCGCCCCCGCCAGAGGACCCCCUAACUCUGUUUCUAUAAUGUUUCUUCUGAGUAAAACAAGCAAAUAAAUUAAAACUUUCAACAACGGAUCUCUUGGCUCUGGCAUCGAUGAAGAACGCAGCGAAAUGCGAUAAGUAAUGUGAAUUGCAGAAUUCAGUGAAUCAUCGAAUCUUUGAACGCACAUUGCGCCCGCCAGUAUUCUGGCGGGCAUGCCUGUUCGAGCGUCAUUACAACCCUCAGGCCCCCGGGCCUGGCGUUGGGGAUCGGCGGAGGCCCUCCGUGGGCACACGCCGUCCCCCAAAUACAGUGGCGGUCCCGCCGCAGCUUCCAUCGCGUAGUAGCUAACACCUCGCGACUGGAGAGCGGCGCGGCCACGCCGUAAAACCCCCAACUCUUCUGAA